UACGUAGGGUGCAAGCGUUGUCCGGAAUUAUUGGGCGUAAAGAGCUCGUAGGCGGUCUGUCGCGUCGGCUGUGAAAACUCGGGGCUCAACCCCGAGCCUGCAGUCGAUACGGGCAGACUAGAGUGCUGUAGGGGAGACUGGAAUUCCCGGUGUAGCGGUGAAAUGCGCAGAUAUCGGGAGGAACACCAAUGGCGAAGGCAGCUCGCUGGGACGGUACUGACGCUGAGACGCGAAAGCGUGGGGAGCAAACAGG
RNAcentral lists this ribosomal RNA (253 nucleotides) under uncultured bacterium. RNAcentral's name for it is "partial 16S ribosomal RNA". It matches the Rfam family "Bacterial small subunit ribosomal RNA", at positions 524 to 776 of the family's 1533-position model. The record is from RNAcentral.